GUAAUGCUUCUCUUGAGAGCGGCGGACGGGUGAGUAAUGCCUAGGAAUCUGCCUGGUAGUGGGGGAUAACGUUCGGAAACGGACGCUAAUACCGCAUACGUCCUACGGGAGAAAGCAGGGGACCUUCGGGCCUUGCGCUAUCAGAUGAGCCUAGGUCGGAUUAGCUAGUUGGUGGGGUAAUGGCUCACCAAGGCGACGAUCCGUAACUGGUCUGAGAGGAUGAUCAGUCACACUGGAACUGAGACACGGUCCAGACUCCUACGGGAGGCAGCAGUGGGGAAUAUUGGACAAUGGGCGAAAGCCUGAUCCAGCCAUGCCGCGUGUGUGAAGAAGGUCUUCGGAUUGUAAAGCACUUUAAGUUGGGAGGAAGGGUUGUAGAUUAAUACUCUGCAAUUUUGACGUUACCGACAGAAUAAGCACCGGCUAACUCUGUGCCAGCAGCCGCGGUAAUACAGAGGGUGCAAGCGUUAAUCGGAAUUACUGGGCGUAAAGCGCGCGUAGGUGGUUUGUUAAGUUGGAUGUGAAAUCCCCGGGCUCAACCUGGGAACUGCAUUCAAAA
Molecule: ribosomal RNA, 559 nt
Filed under: Pseudomonas sp.
Lineage: Bacteria; Pseudomonadati; Pseudomonadota; Gammaproteobacteria; Pseudomonadales; Pseudomonadaceae
Description: bacterial SSU rRNA
Rfam family: Bacterial small subunit ribosomal RNA
Source: RNAcentral